This 389-nucleotide transfer-messenger RNA is filed under the name Rhodothermales. RNAcentral describes it as "JAGQWL01 sp020437385 Standard tmRNA". It matches the Rfam family "transfer-messenger RNA". Rfam says of the family: Bacterial tmRNA, also known as 10Sa RNA or SsrA, is named for its dual tRNA and mRNA-like properties. The record is from RNAcentral. Lineage: Bacteria; Pseudomonadati; Rhodothermota; Rhodothermia. RNAcentral also lists the same sequence under 2 other names.
GGGGAUGUUCUGGUUUCGACGGAUGGUGCGAGCGACAGGUCGCGUGUCGAGCCUCUUGGUGAGCUCGUUAAUCACCGCCUUGAACAUAUAACUGCAAACGAUUAUUCGUAUGCGAUGGCCGCUUAAUCAGCUAUAACCUGAUUUAAGCCCUGCCAUCUGUCGCUGCUCGGGGUUGUCCGGCACCCUGUUCAGCGGCAUGGCUUAAGACGGACUAGCCCGAGGUUGUGCUGUUCGAACGACUGAAGGCGAAACACUGAUCGAACUUUGCUGCGUUGGUGCCCGGUCGGUUGGCUUUCCGGCGCGGCGAGAUCUAAUAGACCGACUACACACGUAGACGCCUGAUUCGGGCGUCCAUUCGGACCCGGGUUCGACUCCCGGCAUCUCCACUU